CUGGCGGCGUGCCUAAUACAUGCAAGUAGAACGCUGAAGAGAGGAGCUUGCUCUUCUUGGAUGAGUUGCGAACGGGUGAGUAACGCGUAGGUAACCUGCCUGGUAGCGGGGGAUAACUAUUGGAAACGAUAGCUAAUACCGCAUAAAAUGGAUUAUCGCAUGAUAAUUCAUUGAAAGGUGCAAAUGCAUCACUACCAGAUGGACCUGCGUUGUAUUAGCUAGUUGGUGGGGUAACGGCUCACCAAGGCGACGAUACAUAGCCGACCUGAGAGGGUGAUCGGCCACACUGGGACUGAGACACGGCCCAGACUCCUACGGGAGGCAGCAGUAGGGAAUCUUCGGCAAUGGACGGAAGUCUGACCGAGCAACGCCGCGUGAGUGAAGAAGGUUUUCGGAUCGUAAAGCUCUGUUGUAAGAGAAGAACGAGUGUGAGAGUGGAAAGUUCACACUGUGACGGUAUCUUACCAGAAAGGGACGGCUAACUACGUGCCAGCAGCCGCGGUAAUACGUAGGUCCCGAGCGUUGUCCGGAUUUAUUGGGCGUAAAGCGAGCGCAGGCGGUUAGAUAAGUCUGAAGUUAAAGGCUGUGGCUUAACCAUAGUACGCUUUGGAAACUGUUUAACUUGAGUGCAAGAGGGGAGAGUGGAAUUCCAUGUGUAGCGGUGAAAUGCGUAGAUAUAUGGAGGAACACCGGUGGCGAAAGCGGCUCUCUGGCUUGUAACUGACGCUGAGGCUCGAAAGCGUGGGGAGCA
RNAcentral lists this ribosomal RNA (751 nucleotides) under Streptococcus oralis subsp. tigurinus. Its description in RNAcentral is "bacterial SSU rRNA". It matches the Rfam family "Bacterial small subunit ribosomal RNA", at positions 36 to 770 of the family's 1533-position model. Lineage: Bacteria; Bacillati; Bacillota; Bacilli; Lactobacillales; Streptococcaceae. The record is from RNAcentral.